UACGGAGGGUGCGAGCGUUGUCCGGAAUCAUUGGGCGUAAAGGGCGCGUAGGUGGCGGGACAAGCGUGCGGUGAAAGCCUGGGGCUCAACCCCGGGUCGGCCGUGCGAACUGUUUUGCUUGAGCACUGUAGAGGCAGGCGGAAUUCCGGGUGUAGCGGUGGAAUGCGUAGAGAUCCGGAAGAACACCAGUGGCGAAGGCGACGUGCUGGGUUGCAACUGACGCUGAGGCGCGAAAGCGUGGGGAGCAAACAGG
This 253-nucleotide ribosomal RNA is filed under the name uncultured bacterium. RNAcentral's name for it is "partial 16S ribosomal RNA". It matches the Rfam family "Bacterial small subunit ribosomal RNA", at positions 524 to 776 of the family's 1533-position model. The record is from RNAcentral.